This 767-nucleotide ribosomal RNA is filed under the name uncultured bacterium. Its description in RNAcentral is "bacterial SSU rRNA". It matches the Rfam family "Bacterial small subunit ribosomal RNA", at positions 8 to 796 of the family's 1533-position model. The record is from RNAcentral.
AGAGUUUGAUCCUGGCUCAGAUUGAACGCUGGCGGCAUGCCUUACACAUGCAAGUCGAACGGUAACAGGUCUUCGGAUGCUGACGAGUGGCGAACGGGUGAGUAAUACAUCGGAACGUGCCCGAGAGUGGGGGAUAACGAGGCGAAAGCUUUGCUAAUACCGCAUACGAUCUCAGGAUGAAAGCAGGGGACCGCAAGGCCUUGCGCUCACGGAGCGGCCGAUGGCAGAUUAGGUAGUUGGUGGGAUAAAAGCUUACCAAGCCGACGAUCUGUAGCUGGUCUGAGAGGACGACCAGCCACACUGGGACUGAGACACGGCCCAGACUCCUACGGGAGGCAGCAGCAAGGAAUUUUGUGCAAUGGGCGAAAGCCUGACACAGCGACGCCGCGUGGGGGAUGAAGGCCUUCGGGUUGUAAACCCCUUUUCUCAGGGAGGAAUAAUGACAGUACCUGAGGAAUAAGUCACGGCUAACUACGUGCCAGCAGCCGCGGUAAUACGUAGAUGGCGAGCGUUAUCCGGAUUUAUUGGGCGUAAAGCGGGUGCAGACGGCUUUUCAAGUCAGAUGUAAAAUCUCCCGGCUUAACUGGGAGGUACCAUUUGAUACUGUUAAGCUAGAGGACAACAGGGGGAGGUAGAAUUCCCGGUGUAGUGGCGAAAUGCGUAGAUAUCGGGAGGAAUACCAGUAGCGAAGGCGGCCUCCUGGGUUGUUUCUGACGUUCAUGCCCGAAGGUGUGGGGAGCAAACAGGAUUAGAUACCCUGGUAGUCC